RNAcentral lists this ribosomal RNA (253 nucleotides) under uncultured bacterium. RNAcentral describes it as "partial 16S ribosomal RNA". It matches the Rfam family "Bacterial small subunit ribosomal RNA", at positions 524 to 776 of the family's 1533-position model. The record is from RNAcentral.
UACGUAGGGGGCAAGCGUUGUCCGGAUUUAUUGGGCGUAAAGAGCGUGUAGGCGGCCAUUCAGGUCAGCUGUGAAAACUCGAGGCUCAACCUCGAGACGUCGGUUGAAACCGUUUGGCUAGAGUCCGGAAGAGGAGAGUGGAAUUCCCGGUGUAGCGGUGAAAUGCGCAGAUAUCGGGAAGAACACCCGUGGCGAAGGCGGCUCUCUGGGACGGUACUGACGCUGAGGCGCGACAGCGUGGGGAGCAAACAGG